RNAcentral lists this long non-coding RNA (21157 nucleotides) under Solanum tuberosum (potato). RNAcentral describes it as "long non-coding RNA (STUB_LNC004323)". The record is from RNAcentral. Lineage: Eukaryota; Viridiplantae; Streptophyta; Magnoliopsida; Solanales; Solanaceae.
GACAAAAAAAUUACAUAAAAGUCACUACAAUACACUUAAGUUACUGAAGUGUUUCUCUAAUAUCAACAUGAACAAAAAGACAACAAAUAAUACCAAAAUAAAAAAAAAAAAGAUAGAGAGAGAAACACUACAGUAAAAAUUCACCCCUUAAUAUAAGACCAAAUAAAAUUUCAAAAUUCACCUAAGGGGGGAAUUUAAUUUUCUUGUAAUUAUGUUUCAUAAUGCAAUAGAUAGAUUAAGAUUAACAUUUUGUUUUUCAGAUGAAGAAUGCCAAACAUUCCAGUUUAAGCCUCCUGAGUAUGAAGAAAUUGUUUCACUAAUCUCACUUAUUAUGGACGAUGCGUUGCUUCUCUGAGUCGUAGGACGAUGCAAUGAGAGAGACAACGAUAAUCCACGUUCAUCCUCUUCUUCUUCUUCUUCUUCUUCUUGAACAUUAUCUAUCUUCAUCGAGCCCUCAAAUUUGAGUCUCUUUGAUGAAUCCCUAUUUGAAUCUUGUGUCUUCAUUACCUAAGCAACAAAAAAUUUGAUGUACAUACUAUCAGUAUAGUUUAACAUGUUAAACUAAGUAGAUGGUUGAUUAUCUAAACGUUGUUCGUAUACAAAGGUUAAACUCAAUUGUAAACUAACAUAUUUUGUAAUGAUAAGAUAUAAACUUAUGAUGUCAAGUACAUUACUUUUGAAGCAUCAGAUACGUACCUAAUGAUUUAUUCUAAAAAGUUCGAACAACAUAGCUAAUAAUUUUGACCUUAACUCUAACUCUGCUAAAUUAGAGAUUAUUUUUCUUGGUAAUGCCACACCAAAUGUUGUUGAAUGUUGAAUUAUGUUCUAAUAAGUCCAAAAGCCAAAAGGUCUUUUUAUUAAUGUUAUAUGAUGAAAAUUUUCAAAUAUCUUAAUGCACUGCUCAUUUUGUGAAAAAAAAUGUACCAAAAAAACUACUCAUUACUUAUUAAAUAAAUAUGGUCCACCAAAAUAAAUGCACUGCUGCCUUCAUAUUUGUACCAUACUAUAUUGUAUUAAAUACCACUUGGAUUUUUUUUGUUAUAAUAUAAGAUCUCAAAGAGAUUUUGAAAUAUUCUUCAAUUUCCCUUCCACAUUUGCAUGGUUUUCUAAAUGUACUAUAUAUUAACAACCAUAAAAAAUUUUGUCAAAUGCUGAGGUUAUUGUAUGAAGAAAAUACAAAAACUUAGGUAGUAUAGAAAGACUAAUUAAUGUUGGAUUAUAAUUGCAAAGCAUGGAAAUUCCAUUUCCCUAUCAACAUGUUUAUUCAUGUCAAAACAUGACCAAUGCACAAUAAAUACACUCUCAACAACCCAUCCAACAAAUAAUAUAUAUAUUUGAAAUUUUAUAUCUAAUAUCGACGUAGAUAUAUUUGAACGACCAGAUCACUUAAAAGAUAUAACUAUUGGUGAAUUUACAUAAUAAACGAGAUAAUAGACCUAUAAAAUGAGGCAUGCAACUCCCACGAAACAAGAAUUAGCAAUACAAAAUUUUAGUAGCUAGACAGCAAAAAUUAGUUUUCCAAUCUUUUUAAUUUUCUUUUGGGGGGGUGGGGGGUGGGCAAUGUAUCUAACCAUACUUGAUUUAUUUUCUUCUCAAGGAAAAAAAACAAAAAAAAUAUUAUUAGAAAAAAGUAGGAAAAAACAAGAGAAGAGAAAGCAACAUUAACUUUAUCUGUCAACUACUUACUAGUGUACCUAAUACCCUAUAGAAUGAAGACUUAAUAGGCUUUGCCAGUUGUAGACACCAUGUUGAAGAUUCAAGCAAAGAAUUUACUGGCAAAGCUAGACAAAAAGAAGAAAAAAAAAUACAAGUAUGAUGUAUGACUAGAGUUGGAACUUGAAAGUAGACCUACAUAAAAUAGUAUUCCUUAUUAUUUUCGUUCCAAUUUACGUGACACUUUCAGCUUUUUUGAGAGUUUAUAAUUUGGCUAACUGUCAAAACUAAACUAGAUUACAUAAACUCAAAAUACUCUCUCCAUCCAAAUUCAUUUUUAGUCUGUUUCAAAUAGUAUGUUACAUUCCUAUAUAUUGAGUAAAGAUUUCUCUAUUAUCGUUAAUGGAAUGAUUUAGAAUCAUACAAAUUGUCAAAUAACAUCUUAUACUACAAAUUUCAAAAAGAAUAAAUCUUUUUUUCUUACACUUUGAGCUAAGUCGAGCAGUUUCACAUAAAUUGAGACAAAGAAAAUAUUAUGAAAUUAAAAUUCUGAAUAUUUUAAAACUAAACAAAAAGAAUCAUACGUAAGCAUAUUCUUCGUGCAAUAAAAUAUGUUAAAAUGUUGAUCAAAGUUCACAUAGAUUGAUCAAAUUCUAUAUUUAUGUUUAAAAGUCCUCUUUAUUAUGUACCUCAAUUCAAAAUCUAUAAACUAAAAAAAUCCAGACUCCGUCUCUAAUAACACAAAUAGUACACUCAACCUUGUGUUCUAGUAAAAAAAAAGCUGCACAAAGGAAACUACCCCUACUAUUUCUACUACUACUACUAAUACCAAGACUUAUAACUAGCAGUUUAAUUUGAACAAACAAAUAAAAAAAGUAUAUUGGAAUAUGUACCUUGAAAAAUUGAGAUUCUUGAAGUUCAUUGCUUGUUGUAAGAGGAUUAAAGAUAUGAGUAGUACUAUUGCACAAUGGUUGUGCUGUUUCAUUUUUCUCAGCUGCCAUAAUACUAUGGAUAUUAUAAUCAUUUCUACUGUUGUACUCAUUACUCACUGCUUCACGUAUUCUCUGGCUGCUGCACCUCUCUAUUCUAGUCCUGUAUAAAAUAAAUUCAUCAAACAAAAAGUUGUUAUUUUUAUAGUUACUAAUGUCACUUGUUACCAGUUAGUUAUCUAUAACUCAACUCUUUAAAAAUAUAAUUAGAGUGUGUUAUAUUUCUAGAGGAUAUGAUAUGAGUAUGAUAAUAUUUUUUUGUAGAGUUCGAGAAACAUGAUUGACAAUGUAUGUAGAACUAAAGACUUUUUUCAUGGUCAGUGUUACUUGACGUGCGAACACAUUUUAUGUGUAGAGUGUUAAAAAUAUUAUCGGAUGUGUAUCAUAUAUUUUUAAAGCAUAGUAGUAUGUAUUUUUAAGGAUCCAUUAUGGGAGAGACAACAUUUUUAAAGGGUUUAAUAUGGGUGCAACCACAUUUAUGAAGGAUCUGAGUAAUAUAGCUAUAGUUAUAUUUUAAGGGGUCAAUUGGUUGGUGGUAUGAUAUAGACAAAUAUAUUGUAUGAGAUUAUUUUAUCUCGUGGAAUAUAUGAGAUAACCUAUACUACUAUUUAUAUUAAUAAAAUAAUUUGAGACUAAAUAAUAUCCAUUACCAAACACGGAAAAAAGAGAUUUAAAAAUAUCUAAAAAUUAUUAUUCUUAUCCCGCCGAUUAAACCACAGAUAAGUGAUAUAAUAGUGUAGAAUUUCUUUUAGAUUAUCAAAUAUAAGAGUCUGAAAAAGUUUAAAAGGAAAGAUAAUAAUGCCAUAUCAAAAUGCAUAAAUGCAAAAUCCUUUUUGUUUCUUAGCAAAAAAACACUUUAUAACAUGGGAAACUGAGGCCAACAAAAGAGUACAAAAUUACCUUUUUGUUGGUUGAACACUGUUAAAGUAUGGUGUAGAAUCUGUUCUCUCCAUAUUGGGGCUGCUGCUAAAAGAUAAUGGAUAUUGGUAAACCAUAAGCUUUUGUUGUUCAACACACCCUUCAUCUUCUUGUUGUUGAUAAUGACAAUCAAAAUCCUCUAAAGACACUUGUUUUCUUGGUUGAAUACUCAUUCUCUCUGCUAUUAGUCAAACACAACAAAAAAUGUUUACGAUUAGAGUCUCUAUCAGAAACAAUCUUUCUACUAUCAUAAGUCAGCGUCUCAAUACAUCACUUGUGGAAUUAUACCGAGUCUAUCAAAAACAGUCUUUUUAUUCCCACAAGUCUAUGUAUAUUGCAAAAGAAACAUGCAUUCAUUGGGAAAGAAAUAAAGGAUAUGCAAUAAAUGAAAGUGAGAUAUUGAGAUUAUUUCCACAAACAUGUUUACAUGUUGGAUAUGCACAAAUGUGAAAAAAAGCAAAGAUCAAGAAAGUCUAAUAGAGGAAACAAAAAAGAUAUGGUCAAUUAAUCCAUAAUGAAAGAACAUUUAAUAUACUAGUACUAGUAUAGUAUAACAAUGAACAUUAAUAUAUAUACCUUGCUUGUUGACAUCACUCUUCAUGCUUCUAUACAUCUGUUUUCAUGUAAACAAGUGUUACUUAUAAUAAAGUCUUGAACUUUACAAACUUUAUAAAAUAAAAAAGGAUCUUUAACCUGAAGAUGGCUUUUGACAUGAGAAAUAGUAAGUCCUCUCACAUCCAUCAUUUGAAGAACAAGCUUAGGAGUAGCCUCUAUACAUAUAUUAGCACCAAAACAAAAAGUCAAAAACAAGUAUGACAAUGUUACGUAGAAUGUAAGCAGGACUUACCACUAACUCAUUCGAUAAAAGAGAAAAUUAGUGAGUUUAAAAACUUACUGUCUUGGCCACCAAGUUUUUCAAUAGCAUGAACAAAACAAUGAUGAAGAUCAGGUGUCCAUCUCAAACGUGGAACUUUUGAUCUUAUGUAUUGUCUAACACCUCCAUUUCUUCCACAAUUUCCCAUUCUCUUUUUUAGCUCAAAUAUCAAAAAGGGUAUCUCCAAGACUCCUUUUUUCCCACAAAAAACCACUUCAAAAUCCAAAGGGGUAUGAUCAAGACUCAAUUUUUACCUCAAAAAUCACUUCAAAAUCCAAAAGGGUAUGAUCAAGACUCCAUUUUUACCUCAAAAAUCACUUCAAAUAUCAAAAAGGGUAUCUUCAAGAUUCCUUUUUUUCCACAAAAACCACUUCAAAAUCAAAAAGGGUAUGAUCAAGACUCUAUUUUUACCUCAAAAAUCACUCCAAAUAUCAAAAGGGUAUCUUCAAAUUCCUUUUUUCCACAAAACCACUUCAAAAUCCAAAGGGGUAUGAUCAAGACUCUAUUUUACCUCAAAAAUCACUUCAAAUAUCAAAAAGGGUAUCUUCAAAUUCCUUUUUUCCACAAAACCACUUCAAAAUCCAAAAGGGUAUGAUCAAGACUCUAUUUUACCUCAAAAAUCACUCCAAUAUCAAAGGGUAUCUUCAAAUUCCUUUUUUCCACAAAACCACUUCAAAAUCCAAAGGGGUAUGAUCAAGACUCUAUUUUUACCUCAAAAAUCACUCCAAAUAUCAAAAGGGUAUCUUCAAAAUUCCUUUUUUUCCACAAAAACCACUUCAAAAUCCAAAAGGAUAUGAUCAAGACUCCUUUUUCCCCACAAAAAUCACUUCUAAACCCAAAAGGGUAUCACCAAGACUCCUUUUUCCCCACAAAAACCACUUCAAAAUCCAAAAGGGUAUGAUCAAGACUCCAUUUUUACCUCAAAAAACACUUCAAAACCCAAAAGGGUAUCUUCAAGACUCCUUUUUGAAUGAAGAAAAAUGAUUUUUACCCAAGUUCUUUUUUUCCAUAUUGAGGUUGAACAAGAAGGUGAUAUUUGAAGUUAGAAAAGAGUAGGUAUUUUGGCAAUCCCGUUGGAAAUGUCUAGGUUUAAAGCAACAAAAAAAGGUACAAUUAUUACUUUUACCUGUAGAAAGAGAAAAAAAUAAAGAUCACGAGAAAAUGAAAUUCCUUGUCAAAAAUAUUUCACUCUGUCUGCAAAAAAAAAUAAAAAAUUGUAAUAUGUCUAUAUAUGUAUUUUGUUUUCACUCUGAUAAAGAGAAAUGAUUACAAAUAUACAAAUAGUAGAAGCAACUGAUGCGCUGAUACUUUGACUCUCUUUGCUUUCUCAUCAUCACAUAUGCCCUCCCUACAUAUUACUAUCGUCGUUUCCUUUCAUUUUAAGUGACACCAUUAUUACUGCACAUUUGAUAUUUAAUUUAGAAAUUGUUAAAUUUCAAAUUCAAUAAUUAAUAAUUAAAUAUUAAUAUCAAGUAGUAGUAAAUUUUGAUUUGAUAUAGUAUUUAGUAAUACCAUAUUGAAAUUGUAGCUGAUUGCUUCAAUUAUUUCUAUCUCUUUAUGAAGAAGCACGAUAUUUUAGUCCGUAAACUUAUACUAAUGAGUAAUGAACAUGUUGGUAUAUGACAUUCAUUGAGUAAUAAUAAUGCGGUAUUUAGUUUCAAAUAUCAAAUGAUACUAAUGUCUUAUAUCUAAUUCAAAUACGAAUACUAUAAGGUAAAAAAGGUUGUGGGAUUCGGUAAUUUAAUUUUUGAUAUUUUAUGCGAAUUCUAUGCAAUAAUAUAUGUCGGAAAUCAUAUAAGACACAAAAUUAUCACAUAAAACAUAUUGUGUUUAUUUGUUCAAUUUUUAUAUCUUUCUUUUUAAAUGUAUAAUUUUAUGUGUUUUUUAAGUUUUUUUUUUUAAUUCAUUUCUGUAUUUAAUUAUACUUUUCGUAUUGUUUUAAAAUAUUUUAUAAUAUUUUAUUUUUUUUGAAAAAUGAUUCUUUAUUUCGUAUUAUAAUAAGACAAGUAGACCGACAUGAUCAGAUGUACAAGACACCACGUUUUACUCAAUUGGAUACACAUUUUGUUUAUUCAAUUAAAUAAAUAAAAAUAUCAGUAUAAAUUAAUGUAUUUGGUCAAUAAUUUGUCUUUUAAAAAAAAUAAUUAACGACUAUCAAUCAUAAAUGCAGUUCAUAACAUUAAGAUAAUCAAAUAAUUAACAUUUAUAUUAAAUUACAUUUUAAACUCUAGUCUAAAUAGAAUGAUAUUACGUAACAAAUUUUAUAUAUACGAUUUAGACUAUCUACUUAUCGAUGCAUAGUUAUUAUUAUCUAUUUCCCACCUCAAUUUCAUAAUCAUAAUUAGACUAACAAAAUGAAGAAUAAUUUAAUUAAAAUUAAUUUGAAAACAAUCUCAGACUAUACACCAUCAAAUUUUGUGGUAAAAUAGUAAGUAUUUUUUAUAAAUAUUCAUCUAUCUUUAAUCCGAGGUCUAUUGACCCCCNNNNNNNNNNNNNNNNNNNNNNNNNNNNNNNNNNNNNNNNNNNNNNNNNNNNNNNNNNNNNNNNNNNNNNNNNNNNNNNNNNNNNNNNNNNNNNNNNNNNNNNNNNNNNNNNNNNNNNNNNNNNNNNNNNNNNNNNNNNNNNNNNNNNNNNNNNNNNNNNNNNNNNNNNNNNNNNNNNNNNNNNNNNNNNNNNNNNNNNNNNNNNNNNNNNNNNNNNNNNNCCCCCCCCCCCCCUUUCCCUCCACCUCCAUGACUCCACCCCUUUCAUAUGUGAAUUUAAAUUACUCUAACUUCAAAGUGAAUAUAAAACACUAUGUAGAACACACACACACCCUCUCCCUCCACCCCCACCUCCAUGGCUCCACCUCUUUUUAGAUGUGAAUUUAAAUUACUUUAACUUCAAAGCGAAUAUCAAACACUACGGUCUACGUAGAACCCCCUACCCCCUCUCCGCUCAUUCCACCUCCACCACUUUUCAUCUGAAUUCAAAUUAAUCUAACCUCAAAGUGAAUACCAAACACUACAUAGUACUCCCACCCCCUAGAUUCAAGGUCGGAAGAAUCGAAAACAGAUUCGAAAAUAGAAUCCCCCACCCCCUCCAAGAAAAAUAAUAAAUAAAGACCGAGGCUAUUAUAAGGAGAAGUAUUCCUUCUGUCCAAAUUUAUGUUUGUCUAAAAAUAAUGAUUAUAUUUCUAUGAUUCGAAAUAACAUAACUUAAAUUUUCUUUAUCCCUAGAUAAAAUAAUUUAUAUUCAUAAAAGUGGUCAAGAAAUGUUUUAAAUUGCAAAAUUUCAUAUUUUUUUAUUUUUUAUAUCAAUUACAAAUGAAAUCUUAAGAGUCAAAGAAAAAAUGGUCCUUUUUCUUUCUUUUCACAAAGUCCUUUUUCUUUCUUUUCACAAAGUCAAGACUUCAAGACAGACAAAAGUCAACUUUACCUAAAACAAAGGCAAAAGAUAGUAAUAGAAAGAGUCCAAACAAAGAAAAAGUCAUCAAAGGACAAAUAGAAACUAAUCAAUGAAAUCCUAACCGUUCAAUAAAUUUCUUUUAUUGGAAAUCAACGGUAGAAAGACGAAGAGAGAGUAAGGACAAGAUGGUAAAUUAGUCAAAAGACGGAUUUGUUAGCCGGUGCCAAUUAUUUGAAAAAUCAAAUUACCCAUUAAAAAAAAAAGCAUCCUUAUUUUCUUGCACUUCAAAUGCCAAUGUUGAAAUUUUUCCUAAUAAUAAUAAUAUAAAUUUCCAUUAUUUUUUUAAAUAUUGCAUAUUAUUUGCUAUAACAUACUUAAUCCUAUCAUCUUGUUAUACUUUUUGUAUGAAAAAAUUCAAAUUUGCCACUGUAUUAUUUGAAAUUGCCAAUAUUUAUCAUUCGUUAUGCUUUUGAUUGAGAGUAAAAACAAUGGUGUAUAUUUAGAAUACUCUAUUCGUUACACUUUUGGUUGUUGUUUUUCUUACUUAUGAUGUGAUAUUAUUAAUAAUACUACUAAAUUUUUGUCAAGUUGUAUUCAAUUUUUCUAGAGAUUUUCGAUUAAAGUAGUCAGAAAUCUAAUUUUGAUCACCCGAAGAACAUUUCCAACGGAUUUCCCAUUGAAUUCGUUGGAGAGUUCUCAAUAUUUUCACAAAAAUAACAACUCUCCAACUAUUACAAUAUCAGAUUUAGUGUACUUAACCUCAUAAGUUUAGUUUGAGAAGAAUAGGAUAUACACAUUUCUAUUUCUAUCAUAGCGGAGUGGAGUAAUAAUAAGCAAAUCCUCUACUCAAAAAAAGUAUAAUUAAAGCAUGAUCGCAAGGAAAACGGCGAUAGCAAGAUGAAUAGCACGUAAUAGUAAAAAAAAUGAAAAAAAGCAACAUACGCAAAGACUAAUUAAUACUGCUAAACAAGGAGAUCUAGAAGAUGAGAAGAAGAGACUAACCCCUGCCUUUUCUGCAUAAAAAUAUGACAACACUAAGCUACAUACUAUUCUUUUAUUUAUUUCAAUUUUUUUAGAAAACAAGCACAUUAGUUUAUCAAUCAAUAAUUUCUCCGAAGUUUGAUUAUCUAUUUAAAGAAAAGAGAGCUAUUUUCUGUUUUUCCCCACGUAUAUAGAAGUUCCAUAAUUGCAAGAUCUAUCCAAAAGGUAAGAAAUAAUUCUCAAACUACAAGUCAAACUUUGAGUGUUCUAGACACCAGAGAAACCCCACAGAUUUUACAUAAUACUCCCUCCGUUCACUUUUACUUGUCCAUAUUUCCUUUUUUGGUUGUCCCUAUUUAGUUGUCCAUUUUGACAAAUCAAGAAAGGACAACAAAUUUUUUCCUAUUAUACCCUUAUUUACACUUCUUGAAAAUUGUAAAAGUGUAUGUUGUUUCCCUCCAAUUUAUUUCACUUGAAUUCAAAUAAGUGGUUGUAAUUUUGAAGUGAAAAGUUGUCAUAAGGGUAAAAUUGUAACUUCAUUGUGCUAAUCAUUGUUGCCUUAAUCUGUGUGCCAUUUCUAAAGUGGACAACUAAAAAGGGACGGAGGGAGUAUAAUUUUUGAUAUUUAUAAUUUUUUAUCUAGAGUUAUGUCCACAUUAAGAUGAAAUAUGUCAAGUUAUGUUUAAUUACCUCCACUUAAUCUUCUUUGGCCUACUUAAUUUUAACUCUCCUAAAAUUUGUUAUAGUCAAUCUCUCACACCUCUUUAUUGAUGCAUUCACGCACUUGGUAAUAUUCAUAUGCAUGUCUGAGCCAUGUCAACCUCAUUUUCUUCCUCUUGUCUUCCGUAGAGGCAACUCUCACCUUGUUCUACAUAACUUUGUUCCUAAGCAUAUCUGUCUUAAUAUGCCUACACUAUAUCUAAGCAUUAUCAUCUUUGUUAUCUUCGUAUUCUGAAAGUGCACAUUCUUCACUAGCGAAUACUUUAUCCCAUACAAUAAUGUAGGUUUAAUCAUCACUCUGUAGAACUUAACUUCAAAUCAGAGUGAUACAUUGUUAUCACACAGUACCCCUUUGAUCCAAUAGGAUGCACGACAUAAUUAGUAGUCUCUUUAUUUUUUGGAGUAUAGAUUCUAGAUACUUGAAACUUUGUCUUUUGUGACUUGUAUAUCGAUCUUCACUCUCGUAUAUACACUUCAUAUGUUACAUCAUUAAACUUAUACUUUAGUCUCUAAGUACUUCGUUUUAAUCUUGUUCAUCCUAAACAUAGAUUCUAGGAUUUCAGCCUAUCAUUACCUUCAGUCCUCCACCAUCCAUCUCGUUGAUCAAUAUAAUAUUAUUUGUGGAUAACAUAUAUCACGAUAUCUCUCCUUAAAUAUAUCAUCAUUUGUGAUUAACAUACACCACGAUACCUCUCCUCAAAUAUAUCGAUCAAUUGAGGAUAAUUUUAAAACUUUCAUGUGUCAAAAUUAUUCUCUUUUUUUUUUCUUAAAAAGUUAAUAGAUCCUUAAUCAAGGUUAAAAUUGUCAUUUCAAGCUAUAUAAAAAGUAGUGUUUCCCUAAAAGGGACAGUAAUCAUACAGUGCUUUUAUAUACCCCUUGUAUAAAAUACAGCAAAAACAAAUACAAAAAGCCAUUUGUGCAUUAAAUUCUUCUUCCAAACUUUUAAAAGAAGAAGCCAAAAUAUUAAAAUACUGUAAAUAUUUUUUUGAAAUGACUGGAAAGUGAUUUAUAGGGAUUAACAAAAGAAAAAAAAUACAGAGGGGAGUGGGGUGGGGGUGGGAGGUAAGGGGGCAGAGAAGGAAUGAUGGAUAUUCCUGGCUUGUUGCAGAGAAUGGAAUGAUGCAAAAUUGGAAGAAGUCAUAAAGAAGAGAGAGUCAGAAAGACUUUCACAAUAACUCCAAAUUUAUUUUUUACCCCAGGGCUUUGCCUUAUUACUUUUCUCCAUCUGUCUCAGUUUAUGUGAACACAAUUUAAUUGAGAGAAAAAUAUUGAAACAUCUAUAAAUUUAAUGUAAAUUAUUAGUUUCGUCCAUAACCUAUUGACAAUCUUCAAGACAACACUUACUUGAUUAACUAAACUUAGAUACAUCCCUCAUCUGCCACAUGACAUAAUAAUUUAUAUCAAACUCUAAUAGGAGUAUGAGAGUCUUAAUUAAAAGCCGAGAGAAAUAUUGAAAACGCUCGUAAACUUUACGAGAAUUUAUAAGUGUAUAUCAGUCAUGUUCAAGAUUGAGUCAUUGAGUCAAGUUCUAACUAAAUUUAGAUACAAAUUCGAUCUACCACAUGACAUAAUAAGUAGUCUCAAACUCUAAUACGAGCAUGUGAUUAUUAAUAAAAAACCGAGAAAAAUAUUGCAAACACUCGUAAAUUUGACGAGAAUUUAGGUAUUUCACUCAUGUUGCAAAAUCAAAUGUAUAUCUAAGUUCAGUUAGUCAAGUAAAGAGAUGUUUUUUAAAACUGUUACAGUUAAAGACCAAAACUAAUAAUUCGUGCUGAAUUUAUGAUUGUUUUUACUACUUUCCUCUUUAAUUUAACAUAAAUUUUUUUAAAAAAAUAAUCUAUAUAUAUUUGAAUGGAGUACUAUUUUUUUAAAGAAAAUUUUAAAAUUAAAUUAUUUUUAAUUAUAAAAAAUAACAUUCUUUUGAAACAAGACUUUGGGAAAAAGAUGCUAUAUAAGUUGAAACAUAGAGGAAAAUAUACUUCAUAAGAUACAUAGGACAAUUGAUAUUGGCAGUGGAUUUGCAGUCACAUGACACAGCACUUUUUCUCUUUUAUGUAUAUUUAUUUCAUGUUUUUUUUCUUCAAUUUUUAAUACUACUAGUUUUUAGCAUUGCUUUAAAUUAUAUUUCAUAAAUUAAGAAUUUAUUAGAAAUAAUCUAUCUAUUUUUAAAAGAAUAGUAAAUCAACCUACAGCCUAUUUUUCUUAAAUUUAAUUUAUGAGAUUACAUUAAGUAAAUAUUAUGUUAUUAUCUUUUUUAUUUUUCGUUGAAUAUUCAAUAUUGCUUUAAGACUUCAAUUAAUAUUGAAUUGUAUUAACAAGAUCCAUUGGAAGAAGAAACAAUUUCAUAUUUUUCCUAAUUUUGAAGGCUCAAAAACUCAAGGAUUUCUAAUUUAAAAUAAAAUUAAUCAUAUUAUAGAAACAUUUAUGUACAUUCAUUCUUUAUUUUACCAAUCAACUUAAUCAUUUAAGUUUGGACGGAUUAUUGACCAGCUUAUUCAUUAGCUCGAUCCAUUUCAAUUGAUUAAAAAUUAAGUUGAUAUGUAAUCGAAAUCGACUCAUGAAAAUCUUUGUCAAAAUAUUUCCCUUUAUGAUUUGUCUAAAUUUGACCAACCCGCCUAAUCGUCACCUCUACUUGAGUACUACAAAGUUUUUUUUUUUGUGUAUACUAAAUUUUAAUUACCAAUAUUUAAGAUUCACCUAUUUUAUUGACCAUUAGAUACUCUAUGUAUGGUAGGACAAUUGAUUGCAGUGGGAGUAGCCACAGAUCAUCAAUUUUUUUUCUGCCAUAGCCAUAGCCCCAUAUAUAGGAGUCACCACUCUAUAUUCUAGGUAAUUGUCAAUAUUGACUAAUUUGAAGCAAAUUUUUUUUUUAUAUAUAUUCUCAUCUUUUGAUCAAAUAUUUAUAGGGAUGAUAAUAGUGGAUCCUACUAUACUUUAUUUAUUUAAUAUUCAUUUAUUGAUAGUUGUGAUAUUUCAAAUUAGCUUGCCUAGCUAUCGAGUAAAUAAAUAUCAAGUAAUUUCGUCCACUAAAAUUAGGAUAAAUUAUCAGAAGAAAUUAUUAGUGUUUUUAUUUGAACUGUUGAAAAUUUGAAAAUGAGAUCUCCCGGUGCUCAAUCGACUACAUUAAUCACUAAGACAUUGCGACUAUUUAUUUCUCUCUUUUUUUAAAAAAAAAAGAUUGGGAAAAUAUUGAAACAUUACUUUGCAUUGUGUCAAUAAUACAAGAACAAAGUUAAUCAUAUUUCGAUAAAUUCAUGAAGAAAUACAGUAACAUAUUCUGUGUAGUUUUAUAUAUUUUGUUUAAAAAAGAUAAGAUGUAUAUAUGCAAAUUGUAUCAUUAUCUUCUUUUUUGGGUUUUACACUCGAUAUCCAGUAUCCACAUUAGAGUCUGACUAAAUCUGAAUUCACACCGAAAAAUUUCAUAUUGAGAUGUAAAACGCUCUCUAACAAAGACGAUUAUGUACCAAAAGGAUUUGAAUUAGUUCGACCUGAAAUCUCUGGUUAAGGACGGAUAAUUACUUAUCACUCCACCACCACAAUCGUUGUUGAUACAUCGUUAUUUUCUAAAGAUAGAAAGACCGUUUUCAAUAGCUCAAAAUAAAUUGAAAAUAUGCCAACUAGGGUUUGAAGUGUAAGUAGGUAGGGUAUAUAUAUAUAGGGUUAUAGGGAAGACCAUGAUGAUGAAGGUAUAGUAUAUUGUACUAUGUGGAUUAGAGCAAAAGGAAUGAAAUGAGUUAAAGAGAAUAGAAUUACAGGGCUACCUAUUUGAUCAGAGAAGAUCUAAAUGAAUAUCCAUCUUGAUUCAUGAAUGCAUGCUUUCUACAGUGUGACAAGAUAUAUCCUCCACACCACACCUAGCUAGUUAACUUUGCCACUUUCACAAUGUAUUCUUCUGGUGGACUAGUUUUUGGCUUGUUACACUUAGUUGCAUGUAGGAGUACUUUUUUUAUGGUUCGUUUCGUAGCUGGUUAAAGUUAUGUUGUUUUUGUAUUAUUACAAGUAGUUGCAUGUAGGAGUACUUUUUUAAGGGUCGUUUCGUAGCUGAUUAAAGUAUGCAGUCUUUGACAUGUGUUACACUUAGUUGCAUGUAGCAACAAUUUUUUAAGGAAAAAUUAUAUAUAAUAACAAAUUAUUAAUUCAAAUUAAAUGCUAUAAACAUAGUUUGAUUUAAUUGUACCACAUAGCAAACUGUUGCUAUUUUCGCCUCUCUCUUGGUGAAUCUCGCUCUCUCCCUCGCCUCUCUCACUUUUUAUACAAACACAAAUGUAUAAAAUGUAUUUGUGUUUGUAUAAAGCGAGAGAAAAUUGUAUAUAAUACAUUAUUUUCGUUCCCCUCUCUCCACUCUCCUAGAUCUCGUUCGCCACUCUCCCAGAUCUCGCUCUCCAUUCUCUCCCUCGCCUCUCUCGCUUAUACAAACAGAAAUGUAUAAAUUGUGUUUCUGUUUGUAUAAAGGGAGAGAAAAUUGUAUAUACACAUACAAAUACAUAUAUCUUCGUCCUAUACACUUAUAAUUAUACAAUACAAAUAUUUCCCUGCCCAGUUCUCUUUUGUCUUUCUCGCUUUAUACAAACACAAAUUAUACAAUUGAUCUUUUGUAUAUGUAUACCGAAACAUAUUAUAUACAACUGCUUUCUUUUGUAUAUGUAUAGCAAAAUAUACAUAUUUAUGUUUGCUAUGAUGCGCAAUUAUGCAAACUAUAGCUAUAACAUACAAAUAUGAUUUUUGUGCUUGCUACAUGUGAAAAUUGCUCAUUUUUUAAGGGUCAUUUUGUAGUUGGUUAAAGUUAUGCAUAAAUUAAUUAUAAUAUAUAUAUAUACAUUAUUAUGUUAUUAGAUAUAAUAUAAUGAUGAUUAUAUUAUUACUAUAAAAUUCUUUACUUAUUGUAGUGGUAUGAUGCAAUUAUAAAUUUGUUAUUGAGUAUCCUACAUCUAUUAAGAAAAUUAUUUAAACAUUAAUUAAAGGAUAAUUUGUUGAUAUUAUCCUUGUGUUUCUUUCCAAACUUUUUCUUAAAAUUGGAGAUAGCUGAAGGCUCAUUAAAGAGAAGGAUAGUUUUGAAGAGAAACAAAAGACCAAUUAAUUCAUUUUGGACCAUAUAUAUAUAUAUGAAGUGCUAAAUCCAGAAAAUUUGGUCAGAAUUUAGUCAGAAAAUUUAAAAAAUUAUAAUAUAUAUAUUUUUUUAAACAAACUGAUCUUUUUUCCAUUUUUUUAGUUAAAAGGUAUUAAAGUUAAAAGGGUAAAAAUGUUUAAAACGGUAAACUUACAUAGAUAAAAUAUCAUUCUGGCCAAAAAGAUUUUUCAUAUAUAUAUACAUAUAUUAGUUAUGCGAGUUUCUAAGUUGCAAAAACUAAAUAUCAUAUUAGGUGUGUUGAAUUUUAUACAUAGUAAAAAAGAGUAAUUAUUAUCAAACACGAUAUUACUUACGUAUAGUUUAAUACCCGCAUAACUUGGCUCGUACCAAAUUACUUAUGUAGAAUAUAAUGUCACGUAAAAUAUAUGUGUAUCUUUCUUCAAAUUUACACAAGUGAAACAGUCUGCUUAAGCACAUCCAAAAUAAAAGAACAUAAAAUUAAAUAAAUAAUUAUCCUAAAUAUAAAAGACACACAAAAGCUUUAUUCUUAUACUAUAAUCAGCAUUAAAUAAGUAGGGCCCUUGGAUGUUUGAAGUGUAAAAUCUAAUUAAGCUAGUUGAAUGAGAUUAGUCGAUUUAAGACUAGAAUACUCAACCAUAUUGGAAGUACCAAAAAGUAGAAAAAAUGUCAUGAUUAAGGGUGUAUUGGAGGAAAAUAUUUUUAAAUUUUUUAAAUAUUUUAUUAGUAAUUUUUUUAAUUAGUAUUUUUUUGAAGAAAUUAUUUUUUAUUAGAAUAAAAAAUAACUUAGUAAGAACAGAAAAAUUAAUUCCACAUUAAUGGUAUCUUCUUCACUCCAGAACCUUACUUGUGAGAGUGAAUUUAGAGGUUAAAAUCAAGACAUGUGAAUUUGUAGUCUCUCCUUAAAACUAAAUAUAAUUGAAUGCUGAAUUAUUUACCUAAAGGACUACAGCCCCCACACUCUUAUCCCUACCUCAAUCUUCGUAAUAAUAUUUAUCUAAAUUAUAUAUAAAAUAUUUUCUAAUACUUAUUCAUCAAACAUAAAAAAAAAAAAAAACACUCACUAAAUUUUCCUACAAUCACACAUGAAGAAAUAUUGUUUUUCAUACCAAACAUACCCUAAGAAAUCGUUUAGUAUGAGAUAUAAUGUAUAAUAAUCCUAGAAUAAAAUAUAUGAUUAUUUUAUCAUGUGUUAAGUUAAAGAUAGUAGAUAGUCAUUAAAUUAUUUAUCUCAUAAUUUAUAUUAUAGUGAUAAAAUAAAUCACACAAUAUACAUAAUAAAAUAAUUUAUCUCAAAAUAACGUAUUUCCAACUAAAUGAGCCUUGAAUCAACAAUGAUUGAAUAUAAUGGGGUCCAUGUCCCUAGACUUUUUGUCCUCCAGGUUACAAAAUUAGGUAAGAUGGGAUUGAAAUUUUUAGUAACACAAAAUUUUAAAAACUAUAUUUAAUGGAAAGAACUUUUUUAGUCACAUCUAUGUGAUUUGAAAAUUGAAAUAUGCAUAGUUUGACUUGAUAAAUUAUUCCAUUGCCUUCACAUCUAAAUCUAAGGUAAGCAUUACGUACACUCUUUUUCUUAAGAUUCUUUUUCAUUUUUAGAAAUCAAAAACAUUUCGUGUUUGAUAUUUAUUUUGAAAUUAAAGAUUCCAACUAGUUAGGUUUUAGGUUGUGCGAAAUUGUUGUUAAAAAGGAAUUAUCUAUCCUACUAUAACUUUUAAAAACACUUUCUUUAAUAAAUAAAAAAUCCAUUUUUUAUUUGGCAUUCAAUAUUUAUUUGAGCAUUCCAACUAAUUAGGUUUUAUGUUGUGCAAAAUUACUAAUUAGGUUUUACACUGUGCAAAAUUUAUUAAAGAAAAGUUUUUCAAACUUAAAGAGGUUCACAAUUCGAAUUCAUAACCCUCAAAAUUGGCCAAUUGGACUUUUUCAAAGUUAAAAUUUUACACUAGAUAAAUAUGAAUGAAUUAAUAUUUUUAAUUUUAAUCUUAGCUUCUUUUUUUUUAUAAAAAGAAUACCAAUGAUCUAUUGUAUGUCCAAGUCUUAUUCUUCUAAUUAUUUUUUUUCGAAAGUUGUUGAUUAUGCCUAACUAAUCGUGAUGCAAAUAAUGACGAAAGAUUAUUCAUGUAGAAACAAAAUAUUAAUAAAGCAUGAAAUAAAAUAAAGUUAUAUUUUAUUUGGAAAUUUAUUUUUCCUUUAUCAUACUAAUCAGACCAACUAUAGGAAGAAUAUAAGCAUUUUCUCUCUAUUUUUAUAUUUUUCCAUUCAACUUUUUAGCCUUUUAAAUUUAAAGUGUGAAUAAAAAGUGAGAGAAUGGAAAAAACUCUAAUUUAACGCUUUCAUACAUUAUUGAAUAAUGAAAAAUUCCAGCUACCUUAUGACGAAUAUUUCUAGAUCAUAUGACAAAAAUACAUAUAAAAUUGUAAAUAAAACUUUCACCUGAAGUUUAUUGAACAUGAAUGAACACAAACAAAAGUAAUCCUUUUUGCCUCGGGUUCAGCCCAUGGAAAUAAUAACAUUUUCGGUCACUCAAUUAUAUGUAAAUUUUAAAUUUAAUUUUUGUGAUAUUUAACUAAACACAUUUAACUUGUAAUCAGUUGAAAUGUACUAUCUUUUUAUUAUCUCUUUGCUUGUGAAAUUCACAUAAUUUUAAAAGCAUUAAACAUUAUGUCAUUUAAUUAUUCAUGUGUUUUUUUUUAUGUUUAGCAUGUGUUGCUACUUUAUAUUUGAGGAUGUUUUAAUCAAAGGUAGGAGCUAGAUGUCCGAAUAUGGAUUCGAUCGAACCCAUUAGGUUUUACUCAAACAUUAUAUUUGUAGUAAGAAAAUUCAUUAAAUAUGUACAAUACUAAAAUUAAAACGUUAUUUUUUAAAAUUCAAAACUCAUAAAGUUAAAAGCUUGAUUCUGCCUCCGAGUAUACUUCUAAAUAUAGUUUAAAUAUAAUAUAUUUCCUAUAUUAUAAAGUAAUCGAAAGCAACACAUUUAAAUAUCGAGUCAUAUAUUACAAGGACCAAAAUCAAAACAAGGGAUUGAAAGUGCUAUUAUCCCUAAUUUAAAAUGAUAUGCAUUGUAUAUUGUUACAUAGUGAGAAAUCAAAGAAAACUGAGUACAACAAGAUCCUUGAUUUGUUCCUAAAGUUGAAACAAAUGUGAAAUGAGUUAUCUUUCAUCAAUUUCCAAAGAUAGGGAAAAAAAUGAGAAAUUAAUGAGGUGAUUUGAAAUUCUUUGAUUUGUUUCUAUAGUUGGAACAAAUAUGAAAAGGGUUCAAGUUUCUAAAUAGGAAUCCCUUUUAAAUAGGGAAAAUUGUAUAAAAUAGCAAAUUAUUAAUUUAAAUUCAAUGCUAUAAAUACAAUUUCAUUUAAUUCUAAUCCGUAGCAAACUGUUUGUCAGUCGCCUCUCUCCUAGCGAAUCUCGCUCGCCUCUCUCACUUUAUACAAACACAAAAUGUAUAAAUUGUGUUUUCUGUUUGUAUAAAAGUGAGAAAAUUGUAUAUACAAAUACAAAUACAUAUAUUUUCGUCUUAUACACUUAAAAUUAUACAAAUACAGAUCUUCCCCUACCCAGUUUUCUUUUGUGUUUCUCUCUUUCUCGCUUUAUACAAACACAUAUUAUACAAUUGAUUCGUAUAUGUAUAGCGAAAUAUAUAUAUUAAUAGUCAUUCGUAUAUGUAUAGUGAAUUAUACAAAUCACAAGCUCCAUAGCAAACAUAAAAUUUGCUAUGGAGCGCAAUUAUGCAAACUACAGAUAUAACAUACAAAUUUGAUUUUUAUGUUUGGUAUAUGUGAAAGUUGUUCUAAAUAAUCGAGACUUGCUCAAUAGAAAGAUUUACAUGCAACAGAGUCUCAAUUUUGUGUAUCGGGUUAAGCAAGCCCAACCCAACAACUUACAUCCAAACAAAAAAAAAGUGAACACCUAACGCGGAAGAUUGUAUUACCAAGCAAGCCAAGACAAGAAACAAGAGUGUAACAAAUGAACAAACAAUACGAUUUUUCAACAAAGAGAAUUCAAUUGAACUCCCCCUUCAUUGGUUGUAGUUCCGCGAUUGCGUUAUUGUUAACCCAGUAGUAUAUCUUUUCUCACUCAACUUUAUUCAUGAACUACCAUAUGGAUUUGGUGUAAUCACCCGGUGCAAGUUAGGUUUUACCAAAUGAUAUUAUGAACACUUGUAUCCAGGGGCGCAUUUAUAGGCAAAAUUUGAGACACGUGAACCCAUGAUCGAAGACUAAAUGGUGCACCUAGUUGAAAAUUGAGCUACUUAAAGAGGACUAUUUUUGUUGUUGAACAGUAAUAUCUUGCAUGAAUUAUGAAAAAAUGGUACAAAACAUUAAAGCAAAAAUAUCAAACAGGUUUUAGAAUAGCAUAAAAACUGUUGAUGAGAAAACAUUAUUUGCAUUCAGGUAGAGGUUACAAAUAGUCCACCAUCUUUAUCACUCAACAGAAAUCAACUUCAAAUACAAAUCCACCAACCAGUAUUUGACAAUUUUCUUGGUUUCUGGAGACCUUGGCAAUUUUUUCAUCUUCCUGUGAAAACAAUCACCAUAGUUGAAUUCAGAUGAAGGAAAACAUGAUUUGGUAAAACACAAAGCGGAGUGGUUUGUCAACCACGACAACCACUAUAAAAGAUAAACCAACUUCAUAGUAAGUAAGAAAUCAGAUAACAAGUGGAUGUAAGAGAAGAAAAUUAUACUGCAAAUAUAUACGAGAUACACUUAAAUAAGUCUAACAAAGGGGGUACUAGAUGGAUUAGGACCAGUUCACUCACCACCAAAAUAUCGAAAAAAAGGAGCAUCUAAGUGCUAAAUCGAAAAAGAGAAAGUAGUUCAGGAGGUUGACCAACUUCCAAGAGUAAACAUUCCGAGUGUAAGAGAAUGUUAGAAGGAAGUUGAAUGACCGUGCACCAGUACUGGCACGCAAUCUUCAUUCUUAUGGUCUUCCGAGGCUAUUCAAGAUUACCUGAGUUUUUUGUAAUUUUACAGACUCCCAGAAUUACUAGCUUUAUAUUUUGAUUUGAUUUGUUUAGAAGAGUUGGUAACACCUUGGUUCUUAUUAUGGAUAGAAUCUUCUCUUUCAUCUAUCCAAAAAGGAAAGACAUAAAAGAAGGAAACAAGAAAGAGAAGAGAAGAAGAAAGAAGGAAGAAGUCAUAAUUUUGCUCUAACUAAAAUCUUGUUCCUUUCCGACUAACUGCUAAGUAAAAAACCAAAGGUUGUGAGUUUUGAGAGCACUAGAGUAAAGGGGGGAAAGGGCCAUAGAAACAGUUGUGGAAAUCUAAUGGCCCCUAAUGUUAGUUGUUUUACGCUGUUAGUUACACACGAUGUAAGCCGUACUCGUGCAACCUUCAGACUAGAGGAUUGGCAAUAUGCAACAAGUGCUUAGCAUUCAAUGGUUAAGUGAGGGAUUGGCAGCAACCUAUUUGCAGUAUACAGUGGCAGGUCAAACCUGGUCUUUAUUUCUUAACAAAUUCAGAAUUCCUUCUGUUAAGUCAUACACAGGUUAGGAGCUAUUGAGUAGGUUGGCUGUUAGGUGAAUGAGGAAAUCAGUAAGGAAGGUCUGGAAUACAGUCUCAGACUGUGUCUAUUGGGUAUUAUGGAAAGGAAAGAAUGUCAGAUGCUUUACUAAGGAAAUCAAAUACUUACAGAAGAUUAAGCUAUAGAUGCAUAUGGCUUUUGGCAUUUUGGUGUAGCUUACAGGAUGUUGAAGAUGAAAAUAGAAUAAGCUAGAUUUCAUACUCUUUACAGGAAUAGGAGCAUGUACAGCUGGAACCCCUUCUUUAUGUUUUAAUAUAAUUACCCUGGAACCAUCUUAGUGCUAAGAUUCUUAUUUUCACAUGCAUUAUUUAACUGUUCAAACAAAAAAAGUGAAAGGGAAACUUUGGUCUCCUGAAUAGAGGAAUUUGCAGGUGGAGCUUACCACACCCAUAAAAAGAAUCCCUGGGCUCCAUACAUUUGGGCUAUGUGUUAAAAGUAAUACUAAUACAGUAAUUCUAGAUCAGAAAGUUGUAUGGCGGAAGCAAAUUAGAGAUGAGCACGACAAAGACAAAAAGAGAAGGAUAGAAGGGAAAGAAAUUCUAGGAAUUCCUACCAGCGUCCUUUGGAAUACCUGGGAAUGAUAAGGUUGCUGCAAGCUUGGCAAAACACAACAAUGUAACCAGUGCAAUCCCACAAGCUUGAACAUAGAAAGAAUUAGAAUUUUAUAAACUUACUUUUCUAUACAUCUAACAGCAUCACCUUGAAAGAGUUAUAUGACUUUUUCAUUAUUUUUCGGAAAUACCUCCAUUCCACCUCGUGGAACAAUAGAGAAUCAUUUGCAGUGACCUCUUCAAGGAGAUAAAAAUGAAUUAUUUCCUGUUAUGUAAGGGCUAGACAAAUUUUUUACAUUUUAUGAUAAUUAUAGUUAAAAGAGUCUCCAGUCUGCUCAAAAGGCUUGCAACAAUAAAGUUGUUGCUGGACACACAACUGCCUAUAUCAAUUGUAACAUAAGUUACUACAUGGUAAUGAAGCAAGACUUAGAUAUUCUCUAGUCAAAGUCACUUGCAUCAGAUGCUGCACAAAUAUAAGAAGCUA